GCAGAUGUGCUGAAGAGGUAACAGGGUCACGGAGCGAUUUCGUGGGUUCGAUUCCCACCAUCUGCC
RNAcentral lists this transfer RNA (66 nucleotides) under Oscillospiraceae bacterium. Its description in RNAcentral is "tRNA-Ser". It matches the Rfam family "tRNA". From Rfam's summary of the family: Transfer RNA (tRNA) molecules are approximately 80 nucleotides in length. Their secondary structure includes four short double-helical elements and three loops (D, anti-codon, and T loops). Lineage: Bacteria; Bacillati; Bacillota; Clostridia; Eubacteriales; Oscillospiraceae. The record is from RNAcentral.